ACUCAGUGGGUUAAGGAUCCGGCAUUGCUGUGAGCUGUGGUGUAGGUCGCAGAUAUGGCUUGGAUCUGCCUUCACUGUGACAGUGGUGCAGCCCGGCAGCUGUAGCUCUGAUUCAGCCCCCAGCCUGGGAACAUCUAUAUGCUUUGUGUGUGGCCCAAAAAAGCAAAAACAAAAAAAACCAAAAAACAAAACCCCCCAAAUUCCUCCAAAUUAAAUGAUAAAUUAGCUCAUCAGAUGGUCUAGGUGCUGGGGAGAGUUUGGGGGUUUCUGAGAGGGGCAGGGUGGCCGCAGUCUUACAAAGGGGGCUCAGGGAAGGCUUCACAAAACCCAAAGCGCUGCAGGGUCCAGACCAAAGGCUCCUGCAGUGACCCAGACAUGGGACAUUACAGGAUCUGUUCGAGGAACUGGGAUCCAAGGUGAGAUACUUUUUAGAAACAGUUCCCCAAAUGUAGCUUCUCUUGGCCAAAGGAGCCACGAAUUGGAGCUGAAGGCCCUUCCUUCGUGAGCUGCCUUCCCAAGGCCAUGCCCUUGAAGACUGGACCCACAGCUCAGCCACCCUUGUCCUCAUGGUCCCUGGUACCGCGUGGGCUCGGGGGCUGACGCGGCGCGGUGAUUUUUGCUGAUAGCAGCACAGCCGGAGCUCACAGUGGUGGGCCGAGGAGCAAGGUGUGGCAGGAGGAAGGAGCAGGCAGUGUCCGGUGUCCAGAGCACAUGAGCCAGCCCCACACCAGCCUGUGCCCCUGGCACGGAUCUGCCAAGGCCAUGUCUGUUCCGUCCUCCCUGAGCCAGUCGGCCAUCAAUGCCAACAGCCACGGAGGCCCCGCACUGAGCCUGCCCCUGCCCCUGCACGCCGCCCACAACCAGCUGCUCAACGCCAAGCUGCAGGCCACGGCCGUGGGACCCAAGGACCUGCGCAGCGCCAUGGGGGAGGGUGGUGGGCCCGAGCCGGGCCCCGCCAACGCCAAGUGGCUAAAGGAGGGCCAGAACCAGCUCCGGCGGGCCGCCACGGCCCACCGUGACCAAAACCGAAACGUGACCUUGACCCUGGCCGAGGAGGCCAGCCAGGAGCCUGAGACGGCACCCCUGGGCCCCAAAGGCCUGAUGCACCUGUACUCUGAGCUGGAGCUCUCCGCCCAUAAUGCGGCCAACAGGGGCCUCCGAGGACCCGGCCUGAUCAUCAGCGCCCAAGAGCAGGGCCCGGACGAGGGAGAGGAGAAGGCGGCAGGGGAGGCGGAGGAGGACGACGAGGAAGAGGAGGAGGAGGAGGAAGAGGACUUGUCUUCUCCUCCAGGGCUGCCGGAGCCCCUGGAGAGUGUGGAGGUGCCCGCCGGGCCCCAGGCCCUUGCAGACGGCCCCCGAGAGCACAGCAAGAGCGCCAGCCUCCUGUUCGGCAUGCGGAACAGCGCAGCCAGCGACGAGGACUCGAGCUGGGCCACCUUAUCCCAGGGCAGCCCCUCCUACGGCUCCCCGGAGGACGCAGAUUCCUUUUGGAACCGCAACGCCUUCGAGACGGAUUCCGACCUGCCGGCUGGAUGGAUGAGGGUCCAGGACACCUCAGGGACCUACUACUGGCACAUCCCGACGGGGACCACCCAGUGGGAGCCCCCGGGCCGGGCCUCCCCAUCGCAGUCACAGGGGAGCAGCCCCCGAGAGGAGUCCCAGCUCACCUGGACCGGCUUCGCCCACGGAGAAGGCUUCGAUGAUGGAGAGUUUUGGAAGGAUGAGCCCAGCGAGGAGGCCCCGAUGGAUUUGGGGCUGAAGGAGCCCGAGGAGAGGGUGUUGCCCUUCCCAGCUCAGAGCCUCAGCCCAGAGCCGUUGCCCCAAGAGGAGGAGAAGCUGCCUGCACGGAAUGCCAACCCCGGGGCCAAGUGUUUCGCCGUGCGCUCCCUGGGCUGGGUGGAGAUGACGGAGGAGGAGCUGGCCCCUGGCCGCAGCAGCGUGGCCGUCAACAACUGCAUCCGUCAGCUCUCCUACCACAAAAACAACCUGCACGACCCCAUGUCUGGGGGCUGGGGGGAGGGAAAGGACCUGCUGCUCCAGCUGGAGGACGAGACGCUGAAGCUGGUGGAGCCGCACAGCCAGGCGCUGCUGCACGCCCAGCCCAUCGUCAGCAUCCGCGUGUGGGGCGUCGGGCGGGACAGCGGAAGGUGGGGGCGCGGCCCGGGGUCCGGGGCGGGGCUCAGCCAGCAGUCAGAGCGGGCCUCCUCCCUCACCCUCUUCUUUGCCUCUCUUGUGCUGCCGGACCCAGAGAGAGGUAGUAUGCUCAUCCGGACCGUUCCUCUGCCCAGCCCCGGAGCAGACGCCGCGCAGCCCCCAAGUUCCCUUGUCGUGCCCUGCCCCCUCCUGGCCGCUCUGCUCACCCACCCUCCCCUGGCAUGCUCGCCUGUCUACCCUCUGGCCAGAAGGCAGCACCUACUGGACGCCACCCCCAGGGCAGAAGCCCUAGAGGAGCUGCGAUGGACGGGGGUGGGGGGACGGGGGGGGACCAGGCUUAGCACCCGAUGGCCCUGGGAGACACUGAGGCGCCCCUCCCCCAACAGGGACUUUGCCUACGUAGCUCGCGAUAAGCUGACCCAGAUGCUCAAGUGCCACGUGUUUCGCUGUGAGGCACCCGCCAAGAACAUCGCCACCAGCCUGCAUGAGAUCUGCUCUAAGAUCAUGGCCGAACGGCGCAAUGCCCGCUGCCUAGUAAACGGACUCUCCCUGGACCACUCGAAACUGGUGGACGUCCCUUUCCAAGUGGAAUUCCCGGCACCCAAGAACGAGCUGGUACAAAAGUUCCAAGUCUAUUACCUGGGGAAUGUGCCUGUUGCUAAACCCGUUGGUACGUGUGUCCUUUCUCACCCAGGGCCGGGACGGCCACCUCGAUCCCGCCCUCCGCCUCCCAGCGCCUCUCACCAGGCCUUCCUUCCGCCUCCCGUCCCUCUGCCCCCCCUCCCCCCGCAGCCCCUGUCCGCCUUCACUGAGUGUGAGCCAGGGAACCAGGGCCACGAGGAGCCCAAGGGCAGGGACCGCCAGGUUCCCUCUGGCAUUUCCAGGGCUUUCCCAGCUCCAGUCGCUUACUCGCUCCUUCGCUUAGCAAAUACCUAAGAAGCCUGCCUCUCAGGUGCCAAGUCCUGGGAAAACAAUGACCGCAGUCCUACUCUCGUGGAGGUUACAGGAGAUGACAGUGGGAAAAAAGAGAAAGUCAGUAAUCACACAAUAACCGUGCAGUGGCAAGUGGAGCCAUUCACUGGAAGAAAGUAUCAAGGUGCCCUGAGCUGCGUCACAGAGGAGCUUCCUUUAGACCCGGGAGUCAGAAGGGACUUGAGAACGUGGCGUCUGAGCUUCCUCCAGGCGGCAGAGGCCCAGCUUGCCCUGCCUCCGUGCUGAUGCGCCCCAAUCCGGGGCAGGUGCCGCCCCGUCUGCUCGUUAGGCAGCGUGGCUUUGCCGCCGGGCCCACACUCACGACCUCUGAGCUCUUCUGUUGGCUGGCAUCGUUGUCCUUAACAUCUGGGCCGUGUGCCAUCUGCGCUGGCCCCCCUGUUCCUGCCUGGUCACCACCCCUCUGUGGCUCCUGGGUCUCUUACACUAGUUGGGAUGCCUCUGGCCCUGUGGCCCUGGGGGUGACUUGCUCAUGCAUCUGGGGCUCCUUCAGUAGAUAAGUAAGCCCUGUGCUGGGGUGGGGACGCCGACAGGAGGGGGCCUGGUUCCUUUCCUUGAGAUGGCUCCAGCCCAGUGUGGAGAAAGGGUUCCCCCUGUGAUAAGCGUUGUCGCAGCUGCACCCUCCGUGCCCCGAACAGAUAAGGCCUCUGAAGCGGGGCCUGGGUGCACCUUGAAGGAGGUUGGGAGUUUCUCAGACAGUGUGGAGGGGACGGCCCGUGGACAGGCAUCCCCUUCUCUCACUCUGGAGGCCCCUUCUGCCGGGCUGCGCAUUUGCCGAGACUGGAUCUUAAGUGCUGCCCGCGCCACUGGAGGCUCAGGGAGCAGUCCAGUGUGAUGCUCGACAGGUCACAGGAGGCCAGUUUUCAUGCUCAGGACAGGAGGGUGGCUUUGAUCCGGCCAGAGAGUAAGACAAGCAAGGCCACGAUGCGGGAGGACUUGCGAGGGAGACCCUCCGUCCACAAAGGGCCCCUGCGGUCUGCUCCUCGUGGGUGGCCAGAGGCACCAAAAGGGGCGAAAGGCCCGAGCGUGGGCCGCAGAGGUGCGGUCCUUUGCGUUGGCGUGGUUCCCCCUCAUCUCUUGGCUAUGAGGCUACACAGAGGAUGGCACGGCCAGCUCACGAGCAGUGCAGGGACCGGAACCCACGCCCCAGCACUCUGCGAGCUCUUGCCUCGGUUGUCAACUGAGUACGCGCAGAAGUGGGGUGGCCUGGGCGGAAAUGCUGCACAGCGGUCUAGAGGAUUCAUGUCGCAGGGGAAGCUGACUGGUCUAAAAGCCUGGCGCCUCAGUCCCUUGGCCGCUGAGCCCCUCCUGGAAAGGACUGAGCACACCUAAGAUGUGACAGCCUUUCCGGUUCCGAAACUGGGAAUCUCGAGAAGGGGCAGGGAAGGGCCUGGCCAAGAACCCAGGCUCCAGAAUCGACUGCCUGCCUUCAGGUCCUCGUUCCUCAGUGCGCCCUAAGGUUUAUUACCUGGUCCUCCAAGCUGCGUUUCCUGCCUGCAGCGGGGUGAUAAAGGCUCUGCCGUGAGACCGUAAGGACACAAUGCACUGUGAUGACGUGACUCAGUAUGACACGAGAGCAAACAUUCCUCGAGGGGAAGCCCUAAAAACCAGAAGCAAAAACAGAGGCUGCCUCUCGAGGACGGGCGAGGACUGGCCGGUGGGCUCACUGAGACCGACUUGGGAGUAAGAGUCACUGUGGUGCGAGGCCCCCGGAUGUCUGAACGUGGGAGAGCGAGAUAGGGCACAGCUCCAGGGGGUCGGUCCGCUUAGGAGGCUGGAGGAAGAGGCAGCGUCAGUGACAAAAACAAAGCUUAGGAUUCAAGAUGGAAAAGGCUAGAAAAGUGCCCGGUUACUGGAGCCAAGGGGGAGAGCACCAAGCAAGGGACACCUGCACAGCAUCGUCCAGGGCCACGGGCGAGGGCAGCGGGGACGAGGCAGCAGAGGUCCAGCGCAGGGCUGGGGGGUCGUGUCCUCGCUAUCCGCGCUUCAUCCCUUGUCUUGCAGGGGUGGAUGUGAUCAACGGGGCCCUGGAGUCGGUCCUGUCCUCCAGUAGCCGUGAGCAGUGGACACCGAGUCACGUCAGCGUGGCCCCUGCCACGCUCACCAUCUUGCACCAGCAGACCGAGGCCGUGCUGGGGGAGUGCCGCGUGCGCUUCCUGUCCUUCCUGGCCGUGGGCAGGGAUGUCCACACCUUUGCGUUCAUCAUGGCUGCUGGCCCGGCCUCCUUCUGCUGCCACAUGUUCUGGUGCGAACCCAACGCCGCCAGCCUCUCCGAGGCCGUGCAGGCUGCGUGCAUGCUCCGCUACCAGAAGUGUCUGGAUGCCCGCUCCCAGGCCUCCACCUCCUGCCUCCCGGCACCCCCCGCUGAGUCUGUUGCCCGGCGCGUAGGGUGGACCGUGCGCAGGGGCGUCCAGUCGCUGUGGGGCUCCCUCAAGCCCAAGCGGCUGGGGUCCCACACCCCCUGAAGCCCCCGGUCCUCCCUACACCUGCUUGCGUUGGGUCCUGGGGAACUCAGGGUACGGGGCAGGGAGGGGCUCUGCCGGCCAUACCUAGACCUCGGGCCCCCCAGAGCUGCCCCUUCCCCAGUAGCUGGGGUUCCCUGCCUAGGGGCUGGGGAGGGAGAUCCGUCAGGCGAGGAAGUGGCCACAUGGAUUAAUGAGAAGAGGCGCAGGAAGCAAGGCCAGCCCCAGGCCCUCUAGUCCCACGUUUCUGGGGGUGCAGGAGGACCUGGUCUAGGCCAUGCCCCACCUUCCUAGGGUCCUGCGGGGGCAGGAGGGGACUGGUCCAGGCAUGGGUCCCCUCCCCUCUGCUCCACGGCACUUCUGCUGUACUGAUAUCACUAAUAAAGUCUGUCUGCCCUGCUGA
Sus scrofa (pig) is the source of this 6009-nucleotide non-coding RNA. NCBI's taxonomy places the organism in Eukaryota, Metazoa, Chordata, Mammalia, Artiodactyla, Suidae. The record is from RefSeq and is a predicted model, not a curated record.